RNAcentral lists this long non-coding RNA (393 nucleotides) under Manihot esculenta (cassava). RNAcentral's name for it is "long non-coding RNA (MESC_LNC003525)". Lineage: Eukaryota; Viridiplantae; Streptophyta; Magnoliopsida; Malpighiales; Euphorbiaceae. The record is from RNAcentral.
GAUGAAGUAUCCUUCUUUGCCUCGCGUUUCAUUAAUGUCUGAUAGAAUUCAACUAGCUCAGGAGCUCUGUGAACUUUAUCACCACUUCCUGCCCCUCUUGGCAAGCUUCCAGGUGGAGGAGGUGGACGUGGUGGUCCACCAGGAGGUGGGGGUGGGGGUGGCGGGGCACCUGGCAGAGGAGGUGGCACUCCAGUUGAAGUAAGUUUAUUUGAGUCAACCACAGCACCACUAGAUGGUUUAGGAGGUGGCCGAGGCACCCUAGGAGGCCUCUUCUCAAUGUCAGCAAGUCUCAUCUUGCUUAUUGAUUGAGAAUCAACAGCUUUGCCGUCAUUAGAUUGGCCAGCAGAAGCAAUUGAUUUCUCUUUUAUUUGAGAAAGUUGUGAUGGCAGACUU